This 429-nucleotide unclassified non-coding RNA is filed under the name Hevea brasiliensis (rubber tree). Lineage: Eukaryota; Viridiplantae; Streptophyta; Magnoliopsida; Malpighiales; Euphorbiaceae. The record is from RNAcentral.
GUCUAGGUGAUCUGAAUUAUCCAUUGAUUUCUGACGUAACCAAGUCAAUUUCAAAAGCAUACAAUGUACUGAUCCCUGACCAGGGGAUUGCAUUGAGAGGACUUUUCAUCAUUGACAAGGAAGGAGUUAUUCAACAUUCAACCAUUAACAAUCUUGGAAUUGGUAGAAGCGUCGAUGAAACAUUGAGAACUCUUCAGGCGUUGCAAUACGUUCAGGAGAACCCAGACGAAGUGUGCCCAGCCGGAUGGAAGCCAGGGGAGAAAUCCAUGAAGCCUGACCCCAAGGGCAGCAAAGAGUACUUUGCAUCCAUAUAAGGAGAUGAAUUACAUUGCUUUUUAUCUAAUUUGUUGUUUACAGGAGCUGGAGGGAGAGAACAGUUUUCUGCAACAUUUUUUUUAAGGUACUGAUCGACUUUUUCGCAUUUUUUUU